AUCGCUUCUCGGCUCUCUGAGCUAAGAUCAAAUGUGUAGUAUCUGUUCUUAUCAGCUUAAUAUCUGAUACAAUCCCCAUGUGGGAUUCAGAAUAUUAAACUGAUUUUUGGAAACUGGUGGAGGUAUGGAGCUUGCUCCGACUCCACCACUGGUCAUCCCGACAUUGCAGUACCAUCGGGAUUGGCCUCCUAAUU
The sequence is a small nuclear RNA, 194 nucleotides long. It matches the Rfam family "U2 spliceosomal RNA". Rfam says of the family: U2 is a small nuclear RNA (snRNA) component of the spliceosome (involved in pre-mRNA splicing). Complementary binding between U2 snRNA (in an area lying towards the 5' end but 3' to hairpin I) and the branchpoint sequence (BPS) of the intron results the bulging out of an unpaired adenosine, on the BPS, which initiates a nucleophilic attack at the intronic 5' splice site, thus starting the first of two transesterification reactions that mediate splicing. The record is from Rfam.